GACGAACGCUGGCGGCGUGCUUAACACAUGCAAGUCGAACGGUGAAGCGCCUUCCUUUUUGGUGGGUGUGGAUGAGUGGCGAACGGGUGAGUAACACGUGAGUAACCUGCCCCCUUCUUCUGGAUAACCGCAUGAAAGUGUGGCUAAUACGGGAUAUUCUGGGUCUGUCGCAUGAUGGGUCUGGGAAAGAUAUUGUUUCGGUGGGGGAUGGGCUCGCGGCCUAUCAGCUUGUUGGUUGGGUGAUGGCCUACCAAGGCGGUGACGGGUAGCCGGCCUGAGAGGGUGGACGGUGACACUGGGACUGAGACACGGACCAGACUCCUAAGGGAGGCAGCAGUGGGGAAUAUUGCACAAUGGGCGCAAGCAUGAUGCAGCGACGCCGCGUGAGGGAUGGAGGCCUUCGGGUUGUGAACCUCUUUCGCCAGUGAAGCAGGCCUGCCUCGUUUGUGGGUGGGUUGACGGUAGCUGGAUAAGAAGCGCCGGCUAACUACGUG
RNAcentral lists this ribosomal RNA (494 nucleotides) under uncultured bacterium. RNAcentral describes it as "partial 16S ribosomal RNA". It matches the Rfam family "Bacterial small subunit ribosomal RNA", at positions 28 to 507 of the family's 1533-position model. The record is from RNAcentral.